RNAcentral lists this ribosomal RNA (658 nucleotides) under Prismatocerus auriculatus. RNAcentral describes it as "SSU rRNA". It matches the Rfam family "Eukaryotic small subunit ribosomal RNA", at positions 156 to 759 of the family's 1831-position model. The record is from RNAcentral. Lineage: Eukaryota; Metazoa; Arthropoda; Insecta; Hemiptera; Coreidae.
UUCUAGAGCUAAUACAUGCAAACAAGUCCCGACCAGCGAUGGAGAGGACGCUUUUAUUGGAUCAAAACCAUUCGCCCGGCUUGCCCGGGCGUCGGCUUGAUGACUCUAGAUAACACCACAGAUCGCACGGUCAUAGUACCGGUGACGUAUCCUUCAAAUGUCUGACUUAUCAGCUGUCGAUGGUAGACUCUGUGUCUACCAUGGCGCUCACGGGUGACGGGGAAUCAGGGUUCGAUUCCGGAGAGGGAGCCUGAGAAACGGCUACCACAUCCAAGGAAGGCAGCAGGCACGCAAAUUACCCACUCCCGGCACGGGGAGGUAGUGACAAAAAAUAACGAUACGGGACUCAUCCGAGGCCCCGUAAUCGGAAUGAGAACACCCUAAAUCCUUUAACGAGGAUCUAUUGGAGGGCAAGUCUGGUGCCAGCAGCCGCGGUAAUUCCAGCUCCAAUAGCGUAUAUUAAAGUUGUUGCGGUUAAAAAGCUCGUAGUUGGUUCUGCGUGCCACGCUGUCGGUUCACCGCCUGCCGGUGCAACUGGCAUGCCGUGGCAUGUCCUGUCGGUGGCGGACAGGCUUCUCGGCGUGCCCUAUGCGUCUUAACGGCGUGUAGGCUGCUGCGCCGCGUUGUCCUUGUACGCCGGCUCAAUCCUACCGCGGUG